UAAGGGCGCACGGUGGAUGCCUUGGCACUAGAAGCCGAUGAAGGACGUUACUAACGACGAUAUGCUUUGGGGAGCUGUAAGUAAGCUUUGAUCCAGAGAUUUCCGAAUGGGGAAACCCAGCAUGAGUUAUGUCAUGUUAUCGAUAUGUGAAUACAUAGCAUAUCAGAAGGCACACCCGGAGAACUGAAACAUCUUAGUACCCGGAGGAAGAGAAAGAAAAUUCGAUUCCCUUAGUAGCGGCGAGCGAAACGGGAAGAGCCCAAACCAACAAGCUUGCUUGUUGGGGUUGUAGGACACUCUAUACGGAGUUACAAAGGACGACAUUAGACGAAUCAUCUGGAAAGAUGAAUC
RNAcentral lists this ribosomal RNA (351 nucleotides) under Staphylococcus aureus. RNAcentral describes it as "partial 23S ribosomal RNA". It matches the Rfam family "Bacterial large subunit ribosomal RNA", at positions 12 to 356 of the family's 2925-position model. Lineage: Bacteria; Bacillati; Bacillota; Bacilli; Caryophanales; Staphylococcaceae. The record is from RNAcentral.